This 64-nucleotide ribosomal RNA is filed under the name Corynebacterium amycolatum. RNAcentral's name for it is "partial 16S ribosomal RNA". It matches the Rfam family "Bacterial small subunit ribosomal RNA", at positions 1 to 63 of the family's 1533-position model. Lineage: Bacteria; Bacillati; Actinomycetota; Actinomycetes; Mycobacteriales; Corynebacteriaceae. The record is from RNAcentral.
UUUGAUGGAGGGUUUGAUCCUGGCUCAGGACGAACGCUGGCGGCGUGCUUAACACAUGCAAGUC